GAUGAACGCUGGCGGCGUGCCUAAUACAUGCAAGUCGAGCGAACGGACGAGAAGCUUGCUUCUCUGAUGUUAGCGGCGGACGGGUGAGUAACACGUGGAUAACCUACCUAUAAGACUGGGAUAACUUCGGGAAACCGGAGCUAAUACCAGAUAAUAUUUUGAACCGCAUGGUUCAAAAGUGAAAGACGGUCUUGCUGCCACUUAUAGAUGGAUCCGCGCUGCAUUAGCUAGUUGGUAAGGUAACGGCUUACCAAGGCAACGAUGCAUAGCCGACCUGAGAGGGUGAUCGGCCACACUGGAACUGAGACACGGUCCAGACUCCUACGGGAGGCAGCAGUAGGGAAUCUUCCGCAAUGGGCGAAAGCCUGACGGAGCAACGCCGCGUGAGUGAUGAAGGUCUUCGGAUCGUAAAACUCUGUUAUUAGGGAAGAACAUAUGUGUAAGUAACUGUGCACAUCUUGACGGUACCUAAUCAGAAAGCCACGGCUAACUCCGUG
RNAcentral lists this ribosomal RNA (497 nucleotides) under uncultured bacterium. RNAcentral describes it as "partial 16S ribosomal RNA". It matches the Rfam family "Bacterial small subunit ribosomal RNA", at positions 28 to 507 of the family's 1533-position model. The record is from RNAcentral.